GACGACGCUGGGCGGCGUGCUUAAACACAUGCAAGGUCGAACGGACGAGUGAGAUAAGUUUACUUAACUCAACAAGUUAGUGGCGGACGGGUGAGUAACACGUGGAUAAUCUACCUGCAACACCGGGAUAACGCUGUGAAAACGGUGCUAAUACCGGAUACGUUCCCUUGUGCGCAUGUAUGAGGGAAGAAAGCUCAGGCGGUUGCAGAUGAGUCCGCGGCUGAUUAGCUAGUUGGUGAGGUAAAGGCUCACCAAGGCGAUGAUCAGUAGCCGGCCUGAGAGGGUGAACGGCCACACUGGGACUGAGACACGGCCCAGACUCCUACGGGAGGCAGCAGUGGGGAAUCUUCCGCAAUGGGCGCAAGCCUGACGGAGCAACGCCGCGUGGGUGAAGAAGGCCUUCGGGUUGUAAAGCCCUGUCUUAUGGGAAGAAGUCAGUGACGGUACCAUAGGAGGAAGCCACGGCUAACUACGUG
RNAcentral lists this ribosomal RNA (476 nucleotides) under uncultured bacterium. Its description in RNAcentral is "bacterial SSU rRNA". It matches the Rfam family "Bacterial small subunit ribosomal RNA", at positions 38 to 507 of the family's 1533-position model. The record is from RNAcentral.